UAAGGAAUAUUGCUCAAUGGGAGAAAUCCUGAAGCAGCAACGCCGCGUGGAGGAUGAAGGGUCUAUGACUUGUAAACUCCUGUAAAGAAGGAAAAAAUUCCCAUUUGAUGGGAGAUGAUGGUACUUCUGGAGUAAGCCCCGGCUAACUACGUGCCAGCAGCCGCGGUAAUACGUAGGGGGCAAGCGUUGUCCGGAUUUACUGGGUGUAAAGGGUGCUCAGGCGGAUUUGUAAGUCAGAGGUGAAAUCUUACAGCUUAACUGUGAAACUGCCUUUGAUACUGCAAGCCUAGAGUAUGGAGGAAGGUGAUGGAAUAUCUGGUGUAGCAGUGAAAUGCGUAGAAAUCAGAUAGAACACGAAUGGCGAAGGCAGUCACUUGGUCCAUUA
RNAcentral lists this ribosomal RNA (385 nucleotides) under uncultured bacterium. RNAcentral describes it as "bacterial SSU rRNA". It matches the Rfam family "Bacterial small subunit ribosomal RNA", at positions 355 to 739 of the family's 1533-position model. The record is from RNAcentral.